RNAcentral lists this long non-coding RNA (1723 nucleotides) under Brassica napus (rape). Its description in RNAcentral is "long non-coding RNA (BNAP_LNC019584)". The record is from RNAcentral. Lineage: Eukaryota; Viridiplantae; Streptophyta; Magnoliopsida; Brassicales; Brassicaceae.
UAGAAGGAGGAAGUUACAGUUAAGCAAGCUGUUCACACUAUCAUCAGCCAAAGCAUGUUUCAAGCCAGCACAUUCGCAGAUCGGACGAACUGGUUUCUCCCGUGUGGUUUACUGCAACCAACCUGAAUCAGCUGAUUACUGCGACAACUACGUGAGGACCACCAAGUACACUCCCGCCAGUUUCCUCCCUAAAUCACUCUUCGAGCAGUUCAGGAGAGUCGCCAACUUCUACUUCCUUGUCGUUGGGAUCUUGUCUUUCACUCCUCUCGCUCCUUACACAGCUGUGAGCGCCAUUGUUCCCUUGACUUUCGUCAUCCUUGCUACUAUGGUUAAAGAAGGUGUCGAAGAUUGGCGUAGGAAACAGCAGGUACCCUUUCAUGUUGGUUCAACUUGAAAUGAGUGGUGGUUGAUAGAUUAGAAAAGGACUUGAUGAUCCUCAAUGUUCAAAAAAUCGCUAGGCGGUGGUUAGACGCUUUAUAGGAGAUUAUUGAUUAGGCGGAUGCCUAAACCAAGCUCCACCUAGACCGAUUUUGUAGAACACAUGGAUCUUACUAGGAUGCUAGCUUUUAAAUGAAACAUGUGUUGUUAUAUUGUUCCGGAUCUGUGGUUUAGGUUGGAAUAAGUUACAUUGCUCAGAACUAAAGUAUUACUCUCUACUUCAGUCGCAGAUUGAUCUUUAGUUUAGGUUGGAUUAAGUUACAUUGCUCUGAAGGCGGGCGCGUAGACCGAUUUUUUGAUUAAAAUAUCAGCUUAAAAUUCAUUUCGUUUAUAUUCGAUUUGCCGCCUAGACCGCUUUUUAGAACAUUGCUCUGAACUGUGAUUUAAGUAUUACUCUCUACUUCAUUUGCAGAUUGAUAUAAUUCUGAUUGAAAUUAUCGUGCUUUUUAGGAUAUUGAGGUGAAUGGUAGAAAAGUUGGAGUGCACCAAGGGAAUGGGCACUUCGAUCUUAAGGAGUGGAAGACACUAAGAGUUGGAGAUAUAUUAAAGGUGGAGAAAAACGAUUUCUUUCCGGCAGACCUUGUCCUGCUUUCAUCUAGCUACGAGGACGCUGUUUGCUACGUAGAGACAAUGAACCUCGACGGGGAAACAAAUCUGAAACUCAAACAAGGACUUGAAGUAACCAUGUCACUGCGCGAAGAAGUUGACUUCAGAGACUUCGAGGCUUUUAUCAAAUGCGAGGAUCCUAACGCUAACUUGUAUUCCUUUGUCGGCACUAUGGAGCUCAAGGGAGAAAAGCACCCUCUCUCGCCGCAACAGCUUCUUCUAAGAGGCUCAAAACUCAGGAACACAGAGUAUAUCUAUGGGGCUGUUAUCUUCACGGGUCCUGACACAAAGGUAGUCCAGAACUCAACGGAGCCUCCUUCAAAGAGAAGCAUGAUCGAGAGGAAGAUGGAUAAGAUCAUAUACCUCAUGUUCCUUAUGGUAGUUUCAUUGGCCUUCCUCGGUGCGAUUUUGUUUGGGAUAGUACUGCAACCAACCUGAAUCAGCUGAUUACUGCGACAACUACGUGAGGACCACCAAGUACACUCCCGCCAGUUUCCUCCCUAAAUCACUCUUCGAGCAGUUCAGGAGAGUCGCCAACUUCUACUUCCUUGUCGUUGGGAUCUUGUCUUUCACUCCUCUCGCUCCUUACACAGCUGUGAGCGCCAUUGUUCCCUUGACUUUCGUCAUCCUUGCUACUAUGGUUAAAGAAGGUGUCGAAGAUUGGCGUAGGAAACAGCAG